RNAcentral lists this ribosomal RNA (915 nucleotides) under uncultured Methanosaeta sp. Its description in RNAcentral is "bacterial SSU rRNA". It matches the Rfam family "Archaeal small subunit ribosomal RNA", at positions 1 to 922 of the family's 1478-position model. Lineage: Archaea; Methanobacteriati; Methanobacteriota; Methanomicrobia; Methanotrichales; Methanotrichaceae. The record is from RNAcentral.
UUCCGGUUGAUCCCGCCGGAGGUUACUGCUAUCGAGGUUCGACUAAGCCAUGCGAGUCGAAUGUAGCAAUACAUGGCGAACUGCUCAGUAACACGUGGACAACCUGCCCUUAGGACGGGGAUAAACCCGGGAAACUGGGUAUAAUACCCGAUAGGUCUCGAUUGCUGGAAUGCAUCGAGAUUUAAAGCUCCGGCGCCUAAGGAUGGGUCUGCGGCCUAUCAGGUAGUAGUGGGUGUAGCGUACCUACUAGCCUACGACGGGUACGGGUUGUGAGAGCAAGAGCCCGGAGAUGGAUUCUGAGACACGAAUCCAGGCCCUACGGGGUGCAGCAGGCGCGAAAACUUUACAAUGCUGGCAACAGCGAUAAGGGAACCUCGAGUGCCAGGUUACAAAUCUGGCUGUCGAGAUGCCUAAAAAGCAUUUCAUAGCAAGGGCCGGGCAAGACCGGUGCCAGCCGCCGCGGUAACACCGGCGGCUCGAGUGGUAACCGUUAUUAUUGGGUCUAAAGGGUCUGUAGCCGGCCGGAUAAGUCUCUUGAGAAAUCUGGCAGCUUAACUGUCAGGCUUUCAGGAGAUACUGUCUGGCUCGAGGCCGGGAGAGGUGAGAGGUACUUCAGGGGUAGGGGUGAAAUCUUGUAAUCCUUGAAGGACCACCAGUGGCGAAGGCGUCUCACCAGAACGGACCUGACGGCAAGGGACGAAAGCUAGGGGCACGAACCGGAUUAGAUACCCGGGUAGUCCUAGCCGUAAACGAUACUCGCUAGGUGUCGGCCACGGUGCGACCGUUGUCGGUGCCGUAGGGAAGCCGUGAAGCGAGCCACCUGGGAAGUACGGCCGCAAGGCUGAAACUUAAAGGAAUUGGCGGGGGAGCACCACAACGGGUGGAGCUUGCGGUUUAAUUGGAGUCAACGCCGGG